This 891-nucleotide ribosomal RNA is filed under the name Exopassalora zambiae. Its description in RNAcentral is "LSU rRNA". It matches the Rfam family "Eukaryotic large subunit ribosomal RNA", at positions 38 to 966 of the family's 3401-position model. Lineage: Eukaryota; Fungi; Ascomycota; Dothideomycetes; Mycosphaerellales; Mycosphaerellaceae. The record is from RNAcentral.
GCAUAUCAAUAAGCGGAGGAAAAGAAACCAACAGGGAUUGCCCUAGUAACGGCGAGUGAAGCGGCAACAGCUCAAAUUUGAAAUCGGCCCCCCGGCCGAGUUGUAAUUUGCAGAGGAUGCUUCUGGGCAGCGGCCGGUCUAAGUUCCUUGGAACAGGACGUCAUAGAGGGUGAGAAUCCCGUAUGCGACCGGCGCGCACCCUCCACGUAGCUCCUUCGACGAGUCGAGUUGUUUGGGAAUGCAGCUCUAAAUGGGAGGUAAAUUUCUUCUAAAGCUAAAUACCGGCGAAAGACCGAUAGCGCACAAGUAGAGUGAUCGAAAGAUGAAAAGCACUUUGGAAAGAGAGUUAAAAAGCACGUGAAAUUGUUGAAAGGGAAGCGCUUGCAAUCAGACUUGUCGGCGGGGUUCCGCCGGUCUUUUGACCGGCCUACUCUCCGUCGACAGGCCAACAUCGUCUGGGGCCGCCGGAUAAGACGUUAGGAAUGUGGCUCCUCGGAGUGUUAUAGCCUAUCGUGAUGCGGCGCGCCCCGGGCGAGGUCCGCGCUUCGGCAAGGAUGUUGGCGUAAUGGUUGUCAGCGGCCCGUCUUGAAACACGGACCAAGGAGUCUAGCAUCUAUGCGAGUGUUCGGGUGUUAAACCCCUGCGCGUAAUGAAAGUGAACGGAGGUGGGAGCUUCGGCGCACCAUCGACCGAUCCUGAUGUCCUCGGAUGGAUUUGAGUAAGAGCAUAGCUGUUGGGACCCGAAAGAUGGUGAACUAUGCCUGAAUAGGGUGAAGCCAGAGGAAACUCUGGUGGAGGCUCGCAGCGGUUCUGACGUGCAAAUCGAUCGUCAAAUUUGGGUAUAGGGGCGAAAGACUAAUCGAACCAUCUAGUAGCUGGUUCCUGCCGAAG